Molecule: non-coding RNA, 73 nt
Organism: Stygiomarasmius scandens
Lineage: Eukaryota; Fungi; Basidiomycota; Agaricomycetes; Agaricales; Campanellaceae
Source: the annotation of a GenBank genome assembly
AAGCUGUAGCGGUUAUCACAUGGGAUCCUGAACGUUGUUUCCCAUGACCCAGGUUCGAUUCCUGGCAGGACCU